This 882-nucleotide ribosomal RNA is filed under the name uncultured organism. RNAcentral's name for it is "bacterial SSU rRNA". It matches the Rfam family "Bacterial small subunit ribosomal RNA", at positions 19 to 949 of the family's 1533-position model. The record is from RNAcentral.
CUGGCUCAGAACGAACGCUGGCGGCAGGCCUAACACAUGCAAGUCGAGCGAGGACUUCGGUCCUAGCGGCGGACGGGUGAGUAACGCGUGGGAACGUGCCCUUCACUACGGAAUAGUCCCGGGAAACUGGGUUUAAUACCGUAUACGCCCUUCGGGGGAAAGAAUUUCGGUGAAGGAUCGGCCCGCGUCUGAUUAGGUAGUUGGUGGGGUAACGGCCUACCAAGCCUACGAUCAGUAGCUGGUUUGAGAGGAUGAUCAGCCACACUGGGACUGAGACACGGCCCAGACUCCUACGGGAGGCAGCAGUGGGGAAUCUUAGACAAUGGGGGCAACCCUGAUCUAGCCAUGCCGCGUGAGUGACGAAGGCCCUAGGGUCGUAAAGCUCUUUCACCAGGGAAGAUAAUGACGGUACCUGGAGAAGAAACCCCGGCUAACUCCGUGCCAGCAGCCGCGGUAAUACGGAGGGGGUUAGCGUUGUUCGGAAUUACUGGGCGUAAAGCGCGCGUAGGCGGACUGUUAAGUCAGGGGCGAAAUCCCGGGGCUCAACCCCGGAACUGCCCUUGAUACUGGCAGUCUCGAGUUCGAGAGAGGUGAGUGGAACUCCGAGUGUAGAGGUGAAAUUCGUAGAUAUUCGGAAGAACACCAGUGGCGAAGGCGGCCCACUGGCUCGAUACUGACGCUGAGGUGCGAAAGUGUGGGGAGCAAACAGGAUUAGAUACCCUGGUAGUCCACACCGUAAACGAUGAAUGCCAGACGUCGGGCAGCAUGCUGUUCGGUGUCACACCUAACGGAUUAAGCAUUCCGNCUGGGGAGUACGGCCGCAAGGGUUAAACUCAAAGGAAUUGACGGGGGCCCGCACAAGCGGUGGAGCAUGUGGUUUAA